GGGCCUAUAGCUCAAUGGUUAGAGCAGGGGACUCAUAAUCCCUUGGUUCAGGGUUCAAAUCCCUGUGGGCCCACCA
Molecule: transfer RNA, 76 nt
Filed under: Verrucomicrobia bacterium IMCC26134
Lineage: Bacteria; Pseudomonadati; Verrucomicrobiota
Description: tRNA-Ile2 (CAT) (tRNA-Ile2-CAT-1-1)
Rfam family: tRNA
About the family: Transfer RNA (tRNA) molecules are approximately 80 nucleotides in length.
Source: RNAcentral